UGCCAAACAAUAGAUGAAACAUGUUAAUGAAAGACUUCCCAGACAUCAUUACCAAUGACAUAUUGAGUUACAUCAAUCAAGCGUAAUGCUAAUGUGAGGAAGAUACAAGGGAAGAAAUAGAACCAAUUACCAAUGCGGCAGACUUCUCAACCUAUCUUCAAUUGGUGAAUCUCAUAUUGGACAUCUUCAACAAGGUUUACUUGAAAGAGUAAAAUUUCAUUGCCAGAAUAUGGCAACUUAAACGAUUAUCUUUACAAGACUAAACACAAGGUUUAUCAUUUGUAUUAUCUUGGAAAAGAAUACUACCAUUCGGUUACUGUACAGAGCUCACUACCAUACACAAACCUGCUGAAUUGAGUGGAAAAAAACUACAUCUCCAGAUAAAAAAUGGAGAAUGGACGUUCCCAAAAUGCUCAUUGUAAAACAACCAACUUCAGACAUGCUGGGGACUACUUGCAGCACCGUCAUCCUGCAAAUGAAACUUAAUAAAUGAACUCCGAAAUAGUCUAUGCUCAGAUUUUAAAUAUUACGUAAUUAGAAUAUUCUACGUAGCACCCAAGUAGACAAUUUGGCAGCAAUACCUCCACUGCCAAUCUGAAUUGAAAUAGAUCAAUAAGGCAGCUACCUAUUCUACUAUUUUAACAGCGAAAUGAAGUUCAUCAGAAGCAGAAAUAGUGUUAAAUCAAAAGCAUGCAUCAAGUAGCACCAUAGUUAAAGGAGCAAUGUCAGGGUCAAGGUCACUCCGGGGCAAAAAGAUAGAAUAGGGAGAGAACUCAAAAGAAAGGAAAAGGGCAGCAUGUAGAUAUGCGAAUUCUAUUAGUUUGUUUCUAUAGUGGAUUUCUUCGGAGUAAUAGUAAUUGAUAGGACCUUGUUGGUAAGUGCUACAAGAUCAUGUUAUGCCUUCGAAAUGAAAGAUAAUUCCAAGUCCGCGUUUUUCUACAAACAAGAAAGCUAAAACUUAUGCAUCAUGUAUAUAUAUAUACACUCCAUAUAUAAAUUACUAAAAGUGGAAAUUACAAAGUGCAAUGUUGGAUUUCAAUUUUACCCCUACACUAAAUUAAAAUCAAAUUAACUAUCUAAAUACAACUACUACAUACCUUUUAAAACGAAAUAGAGUUUAAUUUAAAGCAAAAAUAGGCAAAUCACAGAAAUGAAGACAUGGGGAGUCAAACGAUUGACCCUGAGUUGCUGCUCUCUCCAUGUCAACAGUCUUUUCUUUUAUAGUUUUAAGGCAAUGCUACAAAAUUAAAAACAAAAUGUGGACUCGAGGAAUCAAACCUAAGAGUUGUGUAUGCUUUGUGCACACCGUUGCCACUAAUAUUAUUUCUAAGGGUAUUCAAAAUGUUAUUGUAAGAUUUGACCUAUAUAUAAUGUGAAAAUGAUUCAAGUGUGUUUUUUUCCAUUUAGUGAAAGGAAAUGGGAGAUUUAGUCUAUAGCCUUUAACAAACUUAAUUUUUAACUUUAUAUCAGAUCUUUAUUCUUACACAUAAAGAGGCCUGAAAAGGUCAUCUUUUUCUGUUCAAUUUGUAAGUGGAUAUAGAAAUAAAUCAUGAAAUGCUACAACGACAAUACCUGCCAAACAAUAGAUGAAACAUGUUAAUGAAAGACUUCCCAGACAUCAUUACCAAUGACAUAUUGAGUUACAUCAAUCAAGCGUAAUGCUAAUGUGAGGAAGAUACAAGGGAAGAAAUAGAACCAAUUACCAAUGCGGCAGACUUCUCAACCUAUCUUCAAUUGGUGAAUCUCAUAUUGGACAUCUUCAACAAGGUUUACUUGAAAGAGUAAAAUUUCAUUGCCAGAAUAUGGCAACUUAAACGAUUAUCUUUACAAGACUAAACACAAGGUUUAUCAUUUGUAUUAUCUUGGAAAAGAAUACUACCAUUCGGUUACUGUACAGAGCUCACUACCAUACACAAACCUGCUGAAUUGAGUGGAAAAAAACUACAUCUCCAGAUAAAAAAUGGAGAAUGGACGUUCCCAAAAUGCUCAUUGUAAAACAACCAACUUCAGACAUGCUGGGGACUACUUGCAGCACC
RNAcentral lists this long non-coding RNA (2036 nucleotides) under Solanum tuberosum (potato). RNAcentral's name for it is "long non-coding RNA (STUB_LNC001698)". Lineage: Eukaryota; Viridiplantae; Streptophyta; Magnoliopsida; Solanales; Solanaceae. The record is from RNAcentral.